This 299-nucleotide unclassified non-coding RNA is filed under the name air metagenome. RNAcentral's name for it is "partial contains small subunit ribosomal RNA and internal transcribed spacer 1". The stretch from base 1 to 46 matches the Rfam family "Eukaryotic small subunit ribosomal RNA", at positions 1786 to 1831 of the family's 1831-position model. The record is from RNAcentral.
AAGUCGUAACAAGGUUUCCGUAGGUGAACCUGCGGAAGGAUCAUUAAUUAUAUGUAAUUAUUAUGAUUAUAUUUAAUUAGCCACAUAAUUUGAUGUAUUAGAUUAAGCUUCGGCUUAUGAUGAUUCUGAAAGUUUAAUGGCAUUCUUCUCUUUAGUUUUAAUCUUUCGAUUGAAACGUUAAUUCAGGCCUAAAAACCUGAAUCUAUAUCAAUGUUAAAUUUUAAUUUAUCAAAACUAUAUUCUAAUUAUUAAUUAAUUUUAAUUUUUAAUAACUAAUAACAAUGGAUCUCUUGGCACUG